UUAGGAAUCUUGGGCAAUGGGCGCAAGCCUGACCCAGCAACGCCGCGUGGGUGAUGAAGGCCUUCGGGUCGUAAAGCUCUUUUCCCGGGGAAGAUGAUGACGGUACCCGGGGAAUAAGCCCCGGCUAACUACGUGCCAGCAGCCGCGGUAAUACGUAGGGGGCGAGCGUUGUCCGGAUUUAUUGGGCGUAAAACGCUUGUAGGCGGCCACAUCGCGUCGGACGUGAAAUCUCCCGGCUCAACUGGGAGGGGUCGUGCGAUACGGAUGGGCUCGAGGCCGGUAGGGGGACGCGGAAUUCCCGGUGUAGUGGUGGAAUGCGUAGAUAUCGGGAGGAACACCAGUGGCGCAGGCGGCGUCCUGGACCGGCACUGACGCUGAGGAGCGAAAGCGUGGGGAGCGAUCCGGAUUAGAUACCCGGGUAGUCCACGCCGUAAACGGUGCGCACUAGGUGUCGGGGGUAGUCGACCCCUCCGGUCGCCGCAGCUAACGCAUUAAGUGCGCUGCCUGGGGAGUACGGCCGCAAGGCU
Molecule: ribosomal RNA, 527 nt
Filed under: uncultured bacterium
Lineage: Bacteria
Description: bacterial SSU rRNA
Rfam family: Bacterial small subunit ribosomal RNA
Source: RNAcentral